This is a non-coding RNA of Alligator mississippiensis (American alligator), 837 nucleotides long. Lineage: Eukaryota; Metazoa; Chordata; Crocodylia; Alligatoridae. The record is from the annotation of a RefSeq genome assembly.
AUGAGUUCCUUAUUUCUCUUCCUCUCUCUCCUCUCUUCUCUCCCAUGUGUGCUCUCUGCUGUGCAGCUGGUUGAGUCUGGCCCAGGGGUGGUGAAGCCUGCAGAGACCCUCACCCUGACCUGCACUGUCACAGGCGACUCCAUCAGCAGUGGUUACUAUUGGAGCUGGAUCCGGCAGCCUCCUGGGAAAGGGCUGGAGUGGAUGGGGAACAUAUAUGGAUACAGUGAUACCACAAACUACAACCCAUCCCUCAAGAGUCGCAUCACCAUUUCCAAGGACACCUCCAAGAGCCAGUUCUCCCUGCAGCUGCGCUCUCUGACAGCCGCAGACACCGCCACGUAUUACUGUGCCAGAGACACACUGGUUGAGUCUGGCCCAGGGGUGGUGAAGCCUGCAGAGACCCUCACCCUGACCUGCACUGUCACAGGCUACUCCAUCACCACCAGUGGUUCCGCUUGGAGCUGGAUCCGGCAGCCUCCUGGGAAAGGGCUGGAGUGGAUGGGGUCCAUAGCUGGAAGCAGUGAUAGCACAUACUACAGCCCACCCCUCAAGAGCCGCAUCACCAUUUCCAAGGACAGCUCCAAGAGCCAGUUCUCCCUGCAGCUGCGCUCUCUGACAGCCGCAGACACCGCCACGUAUUACUGUGAGGUUAUCAAGCAGUACAAGUCUCAUGAAGGCUUCACCACAGAAUAUUUGGGGCCUUGUCAGCACGCCGUAGCCAGUGGCAUCCCCCAAGGCUCUGUCCUUGGCCCGGUUCUCUUCAACACCUUUGUCAAUGAUGUGGACAUUGGUGUCAGAAGCGCACUCGCUAAAUUCGAGAAUGACACUAAACUUUGA